AGGCAACUAUGGUGAAAGUGGGAUGGAAGCAUUCAAGGACAUGGCAGCUAAGGAGGGCAUCUGUAUCGCCCACUCUGGCAAAAUCUGGAGCAAUGCUGGAGAGCAGAGCUUUGAUCGGCUGCUGGAGCGGCUGCGGGCCCAUCUGCCCAAAGCCCGGGUGGUGGCUUGUUUCUGUGAAGGCAUGACUGUCCGCAACAUCCUCAUGGCCAUGAGACGCCAGGGACUGGUGGGAGAGUUCCUGCUCAUCGGCAGUGGAUGGAUGGGGCCGACCGGUAUGAUGUAACAGAUGGUUUUGUUAGGGAAGCAGCAGGUGGCAUUACCAUCAAGCUCCAGUCGGCUGAUGUGAAAAUGGUUUGAUGAUUACUACCUUAAACUUCGUCCUGAAAACAACCCCAGAAACCCCUGGUUUCCAGAGUUCUGGCAGCAUCGUUUCCACUGUCGACUUAAAGGUCACCCGCAGGAGAACAACAAAUUCAACCGCAACCUGUGGCAAGCGAGAGUCGCUUCGGCACAGUAUGCACAGGACAGCCAAGAUGGGGGUUUGUCAUAAAUGCCAUCUACUCAAUUGCAUAUGGCCUGCAUAACAUGCAACGGGCACUCUGCCCAGGCUAUCAGGGCCUGUGUGAUGCCAUGCGACCUAUAGAUGGUUCUAUGCUGCUAGACUUCUUGAUGAAAACCAACUUCACCGGAGUGUCAGGAGAGGGAAUCUUAUUUGAUAAGAAUGGAGACUCGCCUGGCAGGUACGAAAUAAUGAACUUCAAGAAGAUGGGGAAGGACUACUAUGACUAUAUUAAAUGUUGGCAGUUGGGACAACAGAGGCUUGAAGAUAGAUGAUGAUGAAAUCUGGCCCAACAAGGAAGGCAUCAUCAAGUCAGUCUGCAGUGAACCCUGUGACAAAGCACAGAUAAAGGUGAUCCGUAAAGGGGAGGUGAGCUGCUGCUGGACGUGCACUCCCUGUAAAGAAAAUGAGUUUGUGUUCGACGAGUACACCUGCCGAGCCUGUGAACUGGGCUCCUGGCCGACCUUUGACCUCACAGGUCAGUCUCUGUGUGUUUCU
RNA transcript from Gymnodraco acuticeps, 1057 nucleotides. It is a transcript of the gene named metabotropic glutamate receptor 5-like, with no coding region annotated. The record is from RefSeq and is a predicted model, not a curated record. The transcript has 7 exons. NCBI's taxonomy places the organism in Eukaryota, Metazoa, Chordata, Actinopteri, Perciformes, Bathydraconidae.